CUCAGUAACACGCGGACAAUCUGCCCUAAGGUGAGGGAUAAUCUCGGGAAACUGAGCAUAAUACCUCAUAGGUCAUGGAUGCUGGAAUGCUUCGUGGCCAAAAGCUCCGGCGCCUUAGGAUGAGUCUGCGGCCUAUCAGGUCGUAGUGGGUGUAACGGACCCACUAGCCAACGACGGGUACGGGCGUUGGGAGACGUCGCCCGGAGGUGGAUUCUGAGACACGAAUCCAGGCCCUACGGGGCGCAGCAGUCGCGAAAACUUGUCAAUGCGGGAAACCGCGAACAGGGGAGUCCAAGUGCUUGCACUUUGUGUAAGCUGUUCGGUUGUCUAAAAAACAGCCGAAGGAAGGGCUGGGUAAGACAGGUGCCAGCCGCCGCGGUAAUACCUGCAGCCCGAGUGGUGAUCGAUUUUAUUGAGCCUAAAGCGUCCGUAGCCGGUCUAGUAAACCCUUGGGUAAAUUGGGCAGCUUAACUGUCCGAAUUCCGAGGGGACUGCUAGACUUGGGACCGGGAGAGGUCAGAGGUACUCCAGGGGUAGGGGCUAAAUCCGAUAUGGUUUUGUGCCAUUCGGUUAGCAUUCCUGUAAUCCUUGGGGGACCACCAGUGGCGAAGGCGUCUGACUAGAACGGAUCCGACGGUAAGGGACGAAACCCUGGGGCGCGAACCGGAUUAGAUACCCGGGUAGUCCAGGGCGUAAACGCUGCAGGCUUGGUGUUGGGGACCCUACGAGGGUGCCCAGUGCCGGAGUGAAGAUGUUAAGCCUCCGCUUGGGGAGUACGUCCGCAAGGAUGAAACUAAAG
This 799-nucleotide ribosomal RNA is filed under the name uncultured archaeon. Its description in RNAcentral is "bacterial SSU rRNA". It matches the Rfam family "Archaeal small subunit ribosomal RNA", at positions 89 to 861 of the family's 1478-position model. The record is from RNAcentral.